UACGGGGGGGGCAAGCGUUGUUCGGAAUUACUGGGCGUAAAGGGCUCGUAGGCGGCCAACUAAGUCAGACGUGAAAUCCCUCGGCUUAACCGGGAACUGCGUCUGAUACUGGAUGGCUUGAGAUUGGGAGAGGGAUGCGGAAUUCCAGGUGUAGCGGUGAAAUGCGUAGAUAUCUGGAGGAACACCGGUGGCGAAGGCGGCAUCCUGGACCAACACUGACGCUGAGGAGCGAAAGCCAGGGGAGCAAAGCGGG
This 253-nucleotide ribosomal RNA is filed under the name uncultured bacterium. RNAcentral's name for it is "partial 16S ribosomal RNA". It matches the Rfam family "Bacterial small subunit ribosomal RNA", at positions 524 to 777 of the family's 1533-position model. The record is from RNAcentral.